GACGAACGCUGGCGGCGUGCUUAACACAUGCAAGUCGAGCGGUAAGGCCCUUUCGGGGUACACGAGCGGCGAACGGGUGAGUAACACGUGGGUGACCUGCCCUCAGCUCUGGGAUAAGCCUGGGAAACUGGGUCUAAUACUGGAUAUGACUCCACGGUGCAUGUCGUGGGGUGGAAAGCCUUGUGCGGCUGAGGAUGGGCCCGCGGCCUAUCAGCUUGUUGGUGGGGUGANGGCCUACCAAGGCGACGACGGGUAGCCGGCCCGAGAGGGCGACCGGCCACACUGGGACUGAGACACGGCCCAGACUCCUACGGGAGGCAGCAGUGGGGAAUCUUGCGCAAUGGGCGAAAGCCUGACGCAGCGACGCCGCGUGAGGGAUGACGGCCUGGUGUAAC
This 395-nucleotide ribosomal RNA is filed under the name uncultured bacterium. RNAcentral's name for it is "bacterial SSU rRNA". It matches the Rfam family "Bacterial small subunit ribosomal RNA", at positions 28 to 429 of the family's 1533-position model. The record is from RNAcentral.